This 253-nucleotide ribosomal RNA is filed under the name uncultured bacterium. RNAcentral's name for it is "partial 16S ribosomal RNA". It matches the Rfam family "Bacterial small subunit ribosomal RNA", at positions 524 to 776 of the family's 1533-position model. The record is from RNAcentral.
UACGAAGGGGGCUAGCGUUGCUCGGAAUCACUGGGCGUAAAGGGUGCGUAGGCGGGUCUUUAAGUCAGGGGUGAAAUCCUGGAGCUCAACUCCAGAACUGCCUUUGAUACUGAGGAUCUUGAGUUCGGGAGAGGUGAGUGGAACUGCGAGUGUAGAGGUGAAAUUCGUAGAUAUUCGCAAGAACACCGGUGGCGAAGGCGGCUCACUGGCCCGAUACUGACGCUGAGGCACGAAAGCGUGGGGAGCAAACAGG